CCUAGAGGGACUGCCGGCGACAAGUCGGAGGAAGUGGGGAUGACGUCAAAUCAUCAUGCCCCUUAUGACCUGGGCUACACACGUGCUACAAUGGGCGGUACAAAGGGCUGCGAACCCGCGAGGGGGAGCGAAUCCCAAAAAGCCGCUCUCAGUUCGGAUUGCAGGCUGCAACUCGCCUGCAUGAAGCCGGAAUCGCUAGUAAUCGCGGAUCAGCAUGCCGCGGUGAAUACGUUCCCGGGCCUU
Molecule: ribosomal RNA, 243 nt
Filed under: uncultured Geobacillus sp.
Lineage: Bacteria; Bacillati; Bacillota; Bacilli; Caryophanales; Anoxybacillaceae
Description: partial 16S ribosomal RNA
Rfam family: Bacterial small subunit ribosomal RNA
Source: RNAcentral